AUACUACUCCCUCCGUUUGAAAAUACUUGUCGGAGAAAUAUAUAAAAAUGGAUGUAUCUAGAACCAAAAUAUGUCUAAAUACAUUCAUUCCUCUGACAAGUAUUUCCGGACGGAGGGAGUACUUA
Triticum aestivum (bread wheat) is the source of this 125-nucleotide non-coding RNA. The record is from Rfam. NCBI's taxonomy places the organism in Eukaryota, Viridiplantae, Streptophyta, Magnoliopsida, Poales, Poaceae.